RNAcentral lists this long non-coding RNA (2337 nucleotides) under Equus caballus (horse). Its description in RNAcentral is "lncRNA (ENSECAG00000046143.1)". The record is from RNAcentral. Lineage: Eukaryota; Metazoa; Chordata; Mammalia; Perissodactyla; Equidae.
GUCAAAUGUAUGCAAAGCUUGGAUUUAGACAUAAAUCAUUAAGUAUCUCAAUUGUUGAGGUUAUCUUUGGUGGAAGCUAGGCUUCAGUGAAUUCACAUUGUUUAUUCUUUUUGAAAUUCAUAUUUUGGAGACAUACAGGAAAGUUAUGGGCAGUGUCCCUUCAGGAGGUAUUUAUGCCUCAAGGGAUUUCAUGAACGUUGUUGUGAGCACAAGGAGUUCACAAUUAUGGUUUAGUUUGAAACCGUUUUCCUCACAACUCCAUGUACUUGGCCAACUUUCAAAAUGCCAAGAUAAUUAGUGGUUCUUUACUCACUUUAAAUUAGCUAUUCUCUAAACUUUAGCUUAAACAAUCAUCAGUAACCUUCUUCUCAACUUCUAAACACUUAUGGAUCAGUUAAAAUUUCAGGACAGAAUGCUCUCACGGAAUCAGAAGAAGAUGCUAAGAUGCUGCUCGAUCCCUCACCUCUGUCCGAUGGACUCCCGCAGCUGCAACGAGAACAGCAACAGCAGUGGCCUAAUGUCCAGUCAGGCCUUCCGUUAGCAGACUAAUGGGUCUUUUCUGCUGAAAUCCCCUUAAUUCUUACUGUUUGUCCUCCCAUCAGGGUUUAAGCUGAAUCAGACAUUCUGUGAAGCUAAGUUCUUCUCUCUAGUUCCAAAACUUAGCCCUUGAGUUCAGAUCGGCCAUGUUGGAGCAACUGUGGCUGCCAAAGGGAAAUUUCACAGCAUCAAUACCACGAAGCAUCCUUUGGUAGAGUGGAGAUGGAGCAUGAUGAAGUUAGAUGUGUGAUGCUACACCUCUUUCCUCAAGACCAAAUCCGCGUUAUGAUGAAUCCUGACCCAGAACAUUUCUCUGCCCUGAUCCCCUCCACUGCCUGUUCUUCCUCCUUGUUCUUCACCUUGCUGGUUUUGGCUCUUAUCUGAACAGAGAUUCAAUGGCAAACUUCUCCCAGGGCACAUCUCUUCUUCUAAAAGGAAAAGACAAGCUCCUAUCCUACCUUUCUCCUGUCCUUGACCGUAAACACAUUCACCAAGCAUGUUCAUUUAAAACAGUCACUUCUGCAAACUUCCAGAUGCAGCUAAAAUGUUUCUGCCUUCAAGAAGUCUUCUUCAAACUCUGCAGAUGGAGUUAACGGCUCCAUUCUCCUGUACAGACACGGAACUUGGUUUAUAGCAUUUACUGUGUCCUCUGGUCACUUACUCACUUACCGGUGUAGAUCUCACUAGAUGUGAGGUUUUCAGUAGCAGAGGCCAGGACUUAUUUAUCUUUUUCUCUAGCACAGUUCCUGAGCCUUGGUAAAUAUUUAAUAAACAUUAAUUGAAAGACUAAAAUAAUUGAUGGACGGAUAAAUAAAUGAAUGGUCUUGUGUAUUUGUGUUGUCUCUCUGCCAGACAAUUUCUUGCUGUGCUUACGGCAUUUUUCAUUUGUUUGUUUUCAUGGUUACUACGCUUUUACAUUUAUCAAGUGGAAACCUGGGCGUCAAUUUAAAUAAGCAACCCUAAUUCUUAAUUUCCUCUUAAAUUCAACUUGAAUAACCCUUGUGUUAGUAAAACAUUGUGGGAACUUCAGUUUGUGUUUGCUGGAAAAUCCCAACUGAGUUGCUACAAAAAGGCAGAAAUUAGAGUUGGUCAAGAGGAUGACCAGAUCAUGUGAUUUGUUUUAUUGGAGCUUGUCAUCAACAUAGACAUUUGAUUUCUAAUUUAUUUGCAAUAGCUUUUCUUCCCUCUUGGUAGACUGGUAAUCAGAGGGCAAGCAGCAAUCUUGUAAGUAAGAUACAUUUGAGAAUGUUUUCCACCAACUUGAUAGUAGGGAAGUCUGGAGCCAAAUGGUGACGUUUGUAUUUUGACAGCCUCAUCUUUACUCUGUCCUUCGCUCCCUACUGCUCUGGCCUGGCUUUCCCAAGCCCUCAUAAAACGGUUUUGGCUUAGCAGAUGGCGUGCAUUAGAAGGUCUCUUCAAUUUUGUGAGUCGCAGUUUCCUCAUCUUUAAAGAUGGAUAAUAGAUCCAGAUGCUUCUGCAGGGCAAAUAUCUAAUGCUCUCAAAAAUUCUCUGUGAACACUAAGAAAUUACAUAAAUCUAAAGGAUUAUUAUUUUUAAUUUAUUAGAGGCGUCAUUUGUAGCACCAUAAUUCAGCACUUCUACUUGUGUCUCUGGAUCCUUUAAGCUGAAAACCAAGUACAGGCGCAGCUUGCUUUCCUGUGCUUUGCUUUAUUGUGCUUUGCAGGUGUUACAUUGUUUACAAAUUGAGGGUUUGUGGCGGUUCUGCAUGGAGCAAGUCUAUUGGUGCCAUUUUGCCAUCAGCAUUUCUCAUUUUGUGUCUCUGUGUCACGUACUUCUCGC